This 268-nucleotide long non-coding RNA is filed under the name Pelusios castaneus (West African mud turtle). Its description in RNAcentral is "lncRNA (ENSPCEG00000009835.1)". The record is from RNAcentral. Lineage: Eukaryota; Metazoa; Chordata; Testudines; Pelomedusidae.
AAGAAACCGAGGCAAUUUUGCUGCUGCUGUUGUUUUUUUGAAGUCAAGGCAAGCCUUCGGAUGACUCCUCAGUGAAAGAGGAGAUUUGCAAGGCCAUAUCACCAUUAAUGCACUGAGUGAUCUGGAGAAAGACCUGCUGGGCCAUAAUGGGGAAAUCCAACAGCAAGUUGAAGCCUGAAGUUGUGGAAGAGCUGACCAGGAAGACAUACUUUACAGAGAAGGAGGUGCAGCAGUGAGCUGCGUUGCUUGGAAAUCUGGCUACGCUGAG